ACACAAGGAAGGAGGUGGUCCAAGAUAUGAAUGGCUGUUACGCCUAUAGGACACGUGAGGUGGCUGUCCGCUAGCGCCACCGCUGCUGGAGAUUCCGUUCGCGGAGCGCGUAGCGAAUCCCAGGCAGUCACCCGGCCCCCGAGUCCUCGGUCUUGUCCGAUCGAGAUCGGUGCAGGUAAGCCCGCAUCGUUACGGCUCGGGGGUCGUCCUGU
This 212-nucleotide small RNA is filed under the name Nocardia donostiensis. Its description in RNAcentral is "Actinobacteria sRNA Ms_IGR-5". It matches the Rfam family "Actinobacteria sRNA Ms_IGR-5". The record is from Rfam by way of RNAcentral. Lineage: Bacteria; Bacillati; Actinomycetota; Actinomycetes; Mycobacteriales; Nocardiaceae.